GUCGAACGGAAAGGCCCCUUCGGGGGUGCUCGAGUGGCGAACGGGUGAGUAACACGUGGGUGAUCUGCCCUGCACUUUGGGAUAAGCCUGGGAAACUGGGUCUAAUACCGAAUACACCCUGCUGGUCGCAUGGCCUGGUGGGGGAAAGCUUUUGCGGUGUGGGAUGGGCCCGCGGCCUAUCAGCUUGUUGGUGGGGUGAUGGCCUACCAAGGCGACGACGGGUAGCCGGCCUGAGAGGGUGUCCGGCCACACUGGGACUGAGAUACGGCCCAGACUCCUACGGGAGGCAGCAGUGGGGAAUAUUGCACAAUGGGCGCAAGCCUGAUGCAGCGACGCCGCGUGGGGGAUGACGGCCUUCGGGUUGUAAACCCCUUUCAGUAUCGACGAAGCCGUGAGGUGACGGUAGGUACAGAAGAAGCACCGGCCAACUACGUGCCAGCAGCCGCGGUAAUACGUAGGGUGCGAGCGUUGUCCGGAAUUACUGGGCGUAAAGAGCUCGUAGGUGGUUUGUCGCGUUGUCCGUGAAAACUCACAGCUUAACUGUGGGCGUGCGGGCGAUACGGGCAGACUGGAGUACUGCAGGGGAGACUGGAAUUCCUGGUGUAGCGGUGGAAUGCGCAGAUAUCAGGAGGAACACCGGUGGCGAAGGCGGGUCUCUGGGCAGUAACUGACGCUGAGGAGCGAAAGCGUGGGGAGCGAACAGGAUUAGAUACCCUGGUAGUCCACGCCGUAAACGGUGGGUACUAGGUGUGGGUUUCCUUCCUUGGGAUCCGUGCCGUAGCUAACGCAUUAAGUACCCCGCCUGGGGAGUACGGCCGCAAGGCUAAAACUCAAAGGAAUUGACGGGGGCCCGCACAAGCGGCGGAGCAUGUGGAUUAAUUCGAUGCAACGCGAAGAACCUUACCUGGGUUUGACAUGCACAGGACGC
RNAcentral lists this ribosomal RNA (928 nucleotides) under Mycobacterium sp. RNAcentral's name for it is "bacterial SSU rRNA". It matches the Rfam family "Bacterial small subunit ribosomal RNA", at positions 61 to 998 of the family's 1533-position model. Lineage: Bacteria; Bacillati; Actinomycetota; Actinomycetes; Mycobacteriales; Mycobacteriaceae. The record is from RNAcentral.